UACGGGAGGUGCAAGCGUUGUUCGGAAUGACUGGGCGUAAAGCGCACGUAGGCGGCUUCGCAAGUCGGAUGUGAAAGCCCCGGGCUCAACCCGGGAAUAGCACCCGAAACUACGAAGCUUGAAUGCUUGAGAGGUUGGCGGAAUUCCAGGUGUAGGAGUGAAAUCCGUAGAUAUCUGGAGGAACAUCGGCGGCGAAGGCGGCCAACUGGCGAUGCAUUGACGCUAAGGUGCGAAAGCGUGGGGAGCAAACAGG
RNAcentral lists this ribosomal RNA (253 nucleotides) under uncultured bacterium. Its description in RNAcentral is "partial 16S ribosomal RNA". It matches the Rfam family "Bacterial small subunit ribosomal RNA", at positions 524 to 776 of the family's 1533-position model. The record is from RNAcentral.